This 24-nucleotide non-coding RNA is filed under the name Cricetulus griseus (Chinese hamster). Lineage: Eukaryota; Metazoa; Chordata; Mammalia; Rodentia; Cricetidae. The record is from RNAcentral.
GACAGCAGGUAUUGUGGGGACCUG